Oncorhynchus gorbuscha (pink salmon) is the source of this 6873-nucleotide RNA transcript. It is a transcript of the gene named solute carrier family 12 member 7-like, with no coding region annotated. The transcript is spliced from 27 exons. Lineage: Eukaryota; Metazoa; Chordata; Actinopteri; Salmoniformes; Salmonidae. The record is from RefSeq and is a predicted model, not a curated record.
AUGGUCCAGGGAUUCUGCAGCUUCAUUGGCAUAGAUCGCAGCUACAAAUGCCGAGGAAGUGUCGGCUCGGCUCACAGUUUGGUGCUAGAAUGUUGUGGUCAGACACAUGACUACGCCACCUUCCAGUGUACGGAUAUGAGCCCUCACAAGAGGAAAGGCGAUGGCAUGCCAAAGGAAAGCAGUCCCUUCAUUAACAACACAGACCAUGACAAAGGAAACUAUAUGAUGGGAAGAACAUGGCCCUCUUCGAGGAAGAGAUGGACAGCAACCCCAUGGUGUCCUCGCUACUCAACAAGUUGGCCAACUACACCAAUCUCACUCAGGGGGUCAAAGAGCACGAGGAGGCAGACGAUGAGGAGGGGCCAGCCAGGAGUAAGAAACCAGUCAAGAGUCCCGCGUUGGGCACAUUAAUUGGGGUGUACCUGCCCUGCCUCCAAAACAUCCUGGGUGUCAUCCUGUUCCUGCGUCUCACCUGGAUCGUGGGAACCGCCGGCAUCAUGGAAUCCCUUGCCAUUGUGGUCAUGACCUGCUCCUGUACGAUGCUGACAGCCAUAUCAAUGAGUGCCAUCGCUACGAAUGGUGUAGUUCCAGCUGGAGGCUCCUACUACAUGAUCUCAAGGUCGCUGGGGCCAGAGUUCGGCGGGGCUGUGGGGCUCUGCUUCUACCUGGGGACCACCUUCGCUGGCUCCAUGUACAUCCUCGGUACUAUAGAGAUUCUGUUAACCUACAUUGUGCCUAGUGCGGCCAUCUUCAAGGCAGAGAAGAAGGAGAAUGAGCCGGAGGCACUGCUCAACAACAUGCGGGUGUACGGCACCUGCUGCCUCGCCCUCAUGUCCCUGGUGGUGUUUGUGGGGGUCAAGUACGUCAACAAGCUGGCCCUGGUCUUCCUGGCUUGUGUCAUCCUCUCCAUUCUGGCCAUCUACGCCGGAGUCAUCAAGACCGCCUUCGAACCGCCAGACUUCCCUAUUUGCCUGUUGGGGAACCGCACUUUGCAGAACCACAACUUUGACCAGUGUUUGAAGACGAUGGAGGUGGACAACGUGACAGUCACCACCAAGCUGUGGUCCCUGUUCUGUGACUCUCCGGACCUCAACGCCACCUGCAACGAAUACUUCACUCUCAACAACGUCACUGUGAUCCAGGGAAUCCCCGGCCUUACCAGCGGGGUCAUCAGAGACAACAUCUGGGGGGACUACGGUCCUAAAGGCAUGUUGGUAGAGAAUAAGCACCAGAUGUCGGAGCCGGCUGCAGACACCUCCCAGGAUAUAUACAUGCCCUACGUAGCCAAUGACAUCACCACCUUCUUCACCCUGCUGGUGGGCAUCUACUUCCCCUCCGUCACAGGAAUCAUGGCUGGAUCCAACAGGUCUGGUGAUCUCAGGGACGCCCAGAAGUCCAUCCCCAUAGGAACCAUCAUGGCCAUCGCCACCACCACCUUCAUCUACAUUAGUUCUGUCAUACUGUUUGGCGCCUGCAUCGAGGGGGUGGUGCUGAGAGACAAGUUUGGGGACUCUGUCAAAGGGAACCUGGUGAUUGGCAUCUUGGCUUGGCCCUCCCCCUGGGUGAUUGUGAUUGGCUCGUUUUUCUCAUGCUGUGGAGCAGGUCUACAGAGUCUCACUGGAGCCCCCCGGCUGCUGCAGGCCAUUGCACGGGACGGCAUCGUGCCAUUCCUACAGGUGUUUGGUCAUGGCAAGGCUAAUGGAGAGCCCACCUGGGCCCUGCUGUUGACUGGUGGGAUCUGUGAGAUCGGUAUCCUCAUCGCUUCUCUGGACGCUGUCGCCCCCAUCCUCUCCAUGUUCUUUUUGAUGUGCUACCUGUUUGUUAACCUGGCCUGUGCCCUCCAGACCCUGCUCUGCACCCCCAACUGGAGACCCCGCUUCAAGUUCUACCACUGGGCUCUGUCUUUCCUGGGCGCCAGUCUGUGUGUGUCCCUGAUGUUCAUCUCCUCCUGGUACUAUGCCCUGGUGGCCAUGCUCAUCGCUGGCUGUAUCUACAAGUACAUUGAAUACAGAGGGGCGGAGAAGGAGUGGGGGGACGGUAUCCGUGGUCUAUCGCUCAACGCUGCCCGCUACGCCCUCAUUCGCCUGGAGGAGGCACCGCCCCACACCAAGAACUGGAGGCCCCAGAUGCUGGUGCUAUUGAACCUGGAGUCUGACCACACGGUGAAACACCCACGCCUGCUCUCCUUCUGCACCCAGCUCAAAGCAGGGAAAGGCCUGACCAUCGUGGGCUCUGUGCUGCAGGGCACCUACAUGACCAAGGAGGACGAGGUCAAGAAGGCUGAGCAGAAUGUCAAGUCGUCGAUGGCGAUGGAGCGUACCAAGGGCUUCUGCCAUGUGGUGGCAUCGUCCAACCUCCGCGAUGGUUUCUCCCACCUCAUCCAGACGGCAGGCCUGGGAGGCAUGAAACACAACACAGUCCUCAUGGCCUGGCCCGGCACCUGGAAACAGUCGAAUGACCCUGUAUCCUGGAAGAACUUCAUAGAAACUGUGAGGGAGACCACGGCGGCAAAUCAGGCAUUACUGGUGGCCAAGAACGUGGACAGCUUCCCCACCAACACGGAUCGCUUGGGCGAGGGCACCAUAGACGUGUGGUGGAUCGUCCACGACGGAGGACUGCUCAUGCUGCUACCCUUCCUCCUCCGCCAGCACAAGGUCUGGAGGAAGUGUAAGAUGCGUAUCUUCACGGUGGCUAAUAUGGAUGACAACAGUAUUCAGAUGAAGAAGGACCUGCAGAUGUUCCUCUACCACCUCCGUCUGGACGCUGAGGUGGAGGUGGUGGAGAUGCACGACAGCGACAUCUCAGCCUUCACCUAUGAGAAGACCCUGGUGAUGGAGCAGCGCUCUCAGAUGCUGAAACAGAUGCAGCUGUCGCGGACGGAGAGGGAGAGAGAGAUUCAGAGUAUCACCGACACGUCUCGUAGCUCCAUCCGGAGGAAGAACCAGACCGGAGCCUCGGGCUCCGAAUCUGACCCCAGUCGAGAGCUGGAGGGCACACAGGAGGAUGAGGCCCAGCUGAUCCACGACAGAAACACGGCGUCCCAUGCCGCGCUCAAUGACAAGCCCGACACCGGCCCUGACCGAGUCCACAUGACGUGGACCAAGGAUAAGUUCCUCUCCGAGCGCAACCGCAACCGCUCCGAGGUCAACAUGGGUGUGCGCGACCUCUUCAACAUGAAGCCAGAGUGGGAGAGUCUGAACCAGUCCAACGUACGCCGGAUGCACACUGCGGUCAAGCUGAAUGAGGUGGUGGUAAACAGGUCACAAGGAGCCCACCUGGUCCUGCUCAACAUGCCGGGGCCGCCCAAGAACAGAGGGGGUGACGAGAACUACAUGGAGUUCCUGGAGGUUCUGCUUGAGGGUCUCAACCGGGUCCUCCUGGUCCGCGGGGGCGGCCGCGAGGUCAUCACUAUCUACUCUUAAACACUCAUUCCCACGAAAUGGCCACGGCAAUAGAUGGCAUUUUAGGGAGAAAUAAUCCUUUGGGUUGCUGUGGGAUUGUCGGAGGGGGGUGGGCAUGGUAUUGGACAGAGGACUUCUUGACCUCUGAAGGGACGACCAGUCAGGGUUGUGUGAUGUGAUAGCAUCGCCCUGAUUCGUGGAGAGCACAGGUGUCCUGGGGCCUGCCUAUCACGCCGAGCGACUGGAGGAUACAGCAUUCAUACACUUUAACUUUUUAAUUUGACACGUGUUGAUGUUUAUUGUUCAGAUUUUCUUAUUCUCUCCUCACUCUGUGUGUGUGUGUUGAGUUGUCAUGUAUGUUCAUGGUAAUUGUGUACCAUGGACCCUAGUCAUGUGUAAUGCACUAUGUAGGGAAUCAUCAUUUAGUUUGUCCUCAUUUUGGUUCAAAUUGAUGUCACCCGGCUGCCUCUAUAAGGUAUCUCUCAGCUCAGAAAUACAUCUCCUAUGAACCCUGAAAUAGAUUAAUAUUUCCUGGUCCAUCUAAUAUCGAUAUGAACCAAAUAGAAACAUUUUGCCUUGGAAUAUCAUGCUUCUGUGAAUCGUUGCAGUAUCCUAGAGUGGAUGGAGGUGGCAAGUCCAAAACAAAGCUUACUUUUAUUUCAAAUCUGUCCCACACAUCAAGUUGUUGCUAUAGCUUUCCUGAGCUCCGUUGUCCCUUGAUUAUUAAAGGUGGGGGGUCACAUUAGGAGCUCUUCCGUCCUACUGGUACACUCUUAUUCGUCUGAAUCUACUCACAGAGGAGUUCUGUCAACCUCACUUCCAAUUGAGGCAGUGAGGGGGUUUAGCUCAUAAGUGGAUGGGUCCACCAGUUUGGACUAGGGUUCAUUCAUUUAUUUCAAUUGUCAAGGGAUUAAUUGUUAAUGUUGCUUGUGCUAAUUGUCAGCUCGUUGUUGUUGAGUGCAGCACAAUGUCUGAAAGAGGUAUGUGUUUGUGGUGGGGGGCUUUGGCAUGGCCAAGGAUUUGGCUGUGCAAUAGAUUCUGUUGAUGUGGUGACCUUGCAGACAUCUCACUAAGCCCUGAGACAUUGAAGGUGGUCCACCUUGCCUGGGAGGUCUCCUAAAUGGACCCUGUGGUAUUGGCUCUGUAGCAUUGGUCAAAGCCCCCGAAGUACAGCCGUUGCAUUGGGAAGAUAGCCAUACUAUUGUAUUUAGCCCUUGUUGACUGUAUGGUACACACAGUACACCGCAUUACGCAUAUUUAUAUAAAGAUUCACAAAGUUGCGAUUUAUUGGAAAUUGUAUUCAAGGGUGCAGGGUAUGGAAAUUACUUUUUUGUUGUAAAGAUCCUAUGUUCAGGAGUGCUGGUUUAAAUUCACGUGUUGUUCCACAGCGUAACAAGUCUAGUACAACUGGGGUACUUCCCCUACCAGAGCCCUUUAGAUCUAUGCAUCAACAUACAGGACAAAUCAUGAGCUGGUUUGACACUACAGCUCAAUCUGACCGAAUCAUCAACUAAAAUAAUUGGUCAAUUGUCUUCGACCCUCAAUCAGAAACAAAAGGUUGUUGUUGGAGCCAUCUUGCCAAAUAGUGUGUCGUCCCCCCCCCCGGCCAAAUAGAUAUAGCAACGGACGCUAAUGGUUUAUAGGGGCACACUAUUUGGCAGAACCACUGUUUUGUCCGUUUUAGGUGUCAUUAGGGACAUCGUCAACACACAGCAUUUUGCUCCAUCUUUUUGAUUUACAGUACUGCAGUAUUUUCUGUUCACUGCAUAGUUUAGCUCUGCUAAUAGACGUCUUUAGGCUGGGGAUGCUAUCACAGGGGUUGGGUUAAAUGCAGAAGACACAUUUUUAAGUUGAAUACAUUCAGUUGUGUACAGCUGACUAGGUAUUUUCCUCCCUGUCUUUGUAAAUACAGUGACCACUACAUUCACAGGGUUGGGAUUUGUGAGUAUCACUCGUCUAUCGCAGGACACCAAACCAAAAUUCUGUACUGGAAUAGAAUAGACGGGAAGUGUCAUUAUGAAGUAGCUCUGAACCAUCACUGUUUUCUCUCUCUGGAGAUGAGCAUGUGUGGGGGGGGGGGGGUGUGUUACUGAAAACAUGCUAUCUCUUAGAGCAAUCAUAUAGGACAGAUGUGGGGGGCCAUAGGAUGAGUCCAUAGACAUCGGCUGAUCACACUGUUCAAUGUCAGGCUUUGUUCUCCUAUUAUCUGCAUGCUUAUUCUCUAGGUUUCAUGUCAGCUGACCCCGAUGAAUCAUUUUGACUUUGUAUAGGAAGAAGCGUGCCAAAUAGACUGAUGUGAAAGUCUGUUUGUCAAUGUCUGCCACAGUGCACGCGUUAACAGACGAAGGUGCUUUUAGGGCGGGGCAAGAUCACUUUAAUUUGUAAAUGCAUUAUAACCACUUAAUUAUUUUGAUUUGGAAACACAGAUUUACACACAUUUGAACACAAAUUAUUAGCUAUAAAAACAAGUUGCGUUUCUGGUUACAAAAUUGAAAAGGCACUCUCACAUCUGAGCUGUCUUUGUAGCAGGUGCAGGGUAACAGUUGAAUAAGAUGAGGGGGAAAUAAGAGAGCUCUGGCGAAGGCCUUGAGGACGAUACGUAAAGCUUAAUAAAGAGAGCAUUGAUACCAACGAGCAGUAUGCAGGUUCCUAGUUACAAAAUUACUUCCUUGUAGGCUGCAUAUUAACAGUGGAGGCAAUGGCAUCUGUGAUUUCUAGGGCACAUGAAGGCUACUUCUAUAGGCAACUGACACCAGAGAUAGGAAACUAUUGGGACAAAGGAAGGAACCAAUCCCCUAACUCCUGUAUAUAUACCUCCACAUUUUAUUUUGAACUUUUUGUUUGUAGCUGUGCAGUAUUUUGUAGCCAGAACAUUGUAUAUUUCAACAGUAUGUCUCAAUUAGUGUCUCUGUUUUUGUUGAGUCGACCAUCGGUUAGACAAUGUUGUGUCUAGUCAGUCAUAGUUUCUGUCUGUCCUUAACAGUUACGUUAUACCGGACUCUGUGACUUUUCAGGACUAGAGUCUUGUGAUUUUAAGGAGGGGUAGGGGUUAUAUGUCAAGACAUUUGCAGGUAUGUUUGUUUUUUUCCUAACCCAUGGGAAACACGACAUGGACAAAGUUUUUGAAGACCUCUGCUUGGACUCUGGUGGAGAUUUCGCAGAAAGGAUUUUAGAGGAACCAGUUGGAGAUCGGGUUAUGUUACUAAUAUGAUUUUAAGUUAAUUUAACAUGUUUUAUUAUUUUAAGGUUUCUAGUCCCCCAAAGAUCAAAUCUUUGAGUCUGAUAUGAAAUAUCACGUUGUUAGUAGUGUAAAAAAAACUUAAGAGGACACAAAGCUAAGGCUUCUGGGUAACUGUAUUGGACGUGUAAGCAGCAUAUGUUCCACCAUUUUGGUUCAAGUGACGAGAGAAUGUAUUUCGAGGUGAAUACCGUGGAUACCGUUGUCAAAGGAGAAUAAACUUGUUCGAAUCGC